AGUGAACGCUGGCGGUAGGCAUAACACAUGCAAGUCGAACGGCAGCACAGUCAGAGCUUGCUCUUCUAGGUGGCGAGUGGCGGCCGGGUGCCGAAACCAUCGCUCUCUACUUUUUCGUGGACUAUACCGACGGGCAAAUUACGCUAAUACAUCAUACUACCUACGGGUGAAAGCAGGGGACAUUCCGCCCUCGCGCGAUUGGUUGAGCCGAUGUCGGAUUAGCUAGUUGGCGGGGUAAAGGCCCACCAAGGCGUCGAUCCGUAGCUGGUCUGAGAGGAGGAUCAGCCACACUGGAACGGAGACACGGUCCAGACUCCUACGGGAGGCAGCAGUGGGGAACAUUGGACAAUGGGCGCAAGCCUGAUCCAGGCAUACGGCGUGGGUGAAGAAGGCCUUCGGGUUGUAAAGCCCUUUUGUUGGGAAAGAAAAGCAGCAGGUUAAUACCCCGCUGUUCUGACGGUACCCAAAGAAUAAGCUCCGGCUAACUUCGUG
RNAcentral lists this ribosomal RNA (492 nucleotides) under uncultured bacterium. Its description in RNAcentral is "partial 16S ribosomal RNA". It matches the Rfam family "Bacterial small subunit ribosomal RNA", at positions 29 to 507 of the family's 1533-position model. The record is from RNAcentral.